This 253-nucleotide ribosomal RNA is filed under the name uncultured bacterium. RNAcentral's name for it is "partial 16S ribosomal RNA". It matches the Rfam family "Archaeal small subunit ribosomal RNA", at positions 474 to 727 of the family's 1478-position model. The record is from RNAcentral.
UACCCGCAGCUCAAGUGGUGGUCAUUAUUAUUGGGCCUAAAGCGUCCGUAGCUGGCUUGUUAGAUGCCUGGGUAAAUCGAUGCGCUCAACGCAUCGACUUCCGGGUAGACCGGCAAGCUUGGGACCGGGAGAGGUGUAGGCUACUCGAGGGGUAGGGGUAAAAUCCUGUAAUCCUUCGGGGAGGACCAGUGGCGAAGGCGCUACACUAGAACGGCUCCGACAGUGAGGGACGAAGCCCUGGGGCGCAAACCGG